Long non-coding RNA from Mesocricetus auratus (golden hamster), 1562 nucleotides. RefSeq lists it as uncharacterized. Lineage: Eukaryota; Metazoa; Chordata; Mammalia; Rodentia; Cricetidae. The transcript has 5 exons. The record is from RefSeq and is a predicted model, not a curated record.
GGCGGGGUCCUAAGACCUGGCUGGCGGCGUUCCCCGAUCCAGUCUUGGAGAGCUGGGCUCCGGGCUGACGCCUUUCCCCGCGGUAGUCCCCGGAGCGCCUGGCGCAGUAGGCCUGCGGUAGCUUGGCCUUGCCGACCAGCUUUGGAAACUGAAAUGACUAAAGAACAUCUAGACCUGCCUAGCUCCACAUGAAGGAACUAAGGAGAUCCAGGGUCCAGUGUCACCAUAAGGAGCUUAUGUCCCAGGGCUUUUAGGGUCUGGUCCUUAGGCGUCACGGGCUUGAUUCCAAGAAUAGCAGAGCCUAAAAGUUGAUCCCACAGAUGAGAACAAUUGGCCAUGAAGGUGAAGUUAUACCUGAAGCAAAAGCCAUCAUGUCCUGAGAGUCAGUCUGUUUUUCCAAAUAAUAGGAACAUCUUUUGACCACUGUGAAUAUUAGUGUGGCUGGCUGUUAGACGUUGGACACCAGAUGAUGUACUCUUCUUGGAGAAGAUCACUUCUGCUUCCAGCUUUCCUACAGUUCUUUCUGUAGGGUUGAGACGUCGUGAGCUUUCCCCUAUCCACUUUGGCAUGUCCAUUUGUGCCAUCCACAUUUGGGCAGUCAUUAUGGUGAAACUUUAUGGUGAUGACUAUUUGAGUCACUUUUAGGAAAGGAGCUAGGAAGCAGCAGAUGGAGGCAGGGCAGGAGAUGGUGGAUUAUGUAUAGAAACUACAUUUAUGGUUUUGAUCAUUUUUUCACAACGUGGUUAUUUCUCAUAUACUUUGCCAACUAGGCAUAUGACAAGAGAAAGUGCCAAGCCAGUUUCAUAAAUACAGUAUGUGAUAGUUUGAAUGCAGUUGUCCCUCAUAAUCUCAUAGGGAGUGGCUUUAUUGAAGUAGGUGUGGCCUUUUUGGAGGAAGUGUGUCACUGUGGGGGCAGGCUUUGAGGUCUCCUAUGCUCAAGCUUCACUCAGUAUGAUACUCAGUUCCCUUCCUGUGAUCGCAAUGUAGCCAGCAAUGUCUGCCUGAAUGCCACCAUGUUCCCUGACAUGAUGAUAAUGGACACAAUAUAAUGAAAAAAUUUAAAAAUCAAUUCAUAAUCAAAUUGUUAUGUGAUCCAGCAAUCUUUCUUUUAGAUAUGACCACCCUCUAGAGUGAAAAAAAAAUUAGGAACACCAAAGAGAUAUUUUUGUACAUUUAAAGUCAUAACAUCAUCUUCACAAGUCAGAAUGCAGAAGGAGCUUGGCUGUUCACCCAUGGACAAAUGGCUACAUAACAUGUGAUCUGUAUAUGGGACAGAAUGUUCUUCAGCCUCAGAAAGGAAGAAGAUUCUGCUUUAAUGUGAGUCAAGCCUGAACACAUUGUGCAGGGUGAAAUAAGCCACAAAAGGGUCAGGUACUGGAUAACCAUCAGAUACCUAGGGUGGGACAACUCAUCGAUAUACAAAGCAUGGUUGCCAAGAGGUGAACAGAAGUUACAGUUUAACCCUGGUGUCAGUUCUGCAAGGUGAAUGUACUUCACACUGAUUCUACACUUUGUAGUGGUUAAAAUGGCAAAGUUCCUGUGUUUUAUAAAAGUUUUUUUUU